Molecule: ribosomal RNA, 501 nt
Filed under: uncultured bacterium
Lineage: Bacteria
Description: partial 16S ribosomal RNA
Rfam family: Bacterial small subunit ribosomal RNA
Source: RNAcentral
AUUGAACGCUGGCGGCAGGCUUAACACAUGCAAGUCGAGCGGGGGGAGGUAGCUUGCUACCGGACCUAGCGGCGGACGGGUGAGUAAUGCUUAGGAAUCUGCCUAUUAGUGGGGGACAACAUCUCGAAAGGGAUGCUAAUACCGCAUACGUCCUACGGGAGAAAGCAGGGGAUCUUCGGACCUUGCGCUAAUAGAUGAGCCUAAGUCGGAUUAGCUAGUUGGUGGGGUAAAGGCCUACCAAGGCGACGAUCUGUAGCGGGUCUGAGAGGAUGAUCCGCCACACUGGGACUGAGACACGGCCCAGACUCCGACGGGAGGCAGCAGGGGGGAAUAUUGGACAAUGGGGGGAACCCUGAUCCAGCCAUGCCGCGUGUGUGAAGAAGGCCUUAUGGUUGUAAAGCACUUUAAGCGAGGAGGAGGCUACUUUAGUUAAUACCUAGAGAUAGUGGACGUUACUCGCAGAAUAAGCACCGGCUAACUCUGUGCCAGCCGCCGCGGUAA